UACGGGGGGAGCAAGCGUUGUUCGGAUUUACUGGGCGUAAAGGGCGCGUAGGCGGCGCAACAAGUCACUUGUGAAAUCUCCGGGCUUAACCCGGAGCGGCCAAGUGAUACUGUCGUGCUAGAGUGCGGAAGGGGCUACUGGAAUUCUCGGUGUAGCGGUGAAAUGCGUAGAUAUCGAGAGGAACACCUGCGGCGAAGGCAGCCCCCUGGGCCAACACUGACGCUCAGGCACGAAAGCGUGGGGAGCAAACAGG
RNAcentral lists this ribosomal RNA (253 nucleotides) under uncultured bacterium. Its description in RNAcentral is "partial 16S ribosomal RNA". It matches the Rfam family "Bacterial small subunit ribosomal RNA", at positions 524 to 776 of the family's 1533-position model. The record is from RNAcentral.